CUCUUCCCGGCAUGGGUUUCUGCCCAGCUCACCCGCUGUCAGCUGGGGUCCUGCUCUGGUGGGAGGAAGAGGCUCAGACGCUUCCCUGCCCUCUCGCCUCAACCACCUCGAGGCAGCGGCUCCCAGGAUGUGCACUUUGACGACUAAAGCUGAGCCGGCGCCGCCACGACCUUGGGCGGGUGGUCGGCCUCUGCCCUGAGCAGGAAGUAGAAAGUCUCAGCAGACCCUUCCUGAGGGCCGAGCAACAGUGUAGUGGCGUAUUCCACAUAGCAAACAGGUGAAUUCCUUGGAAGAUGAGGGCCAAGUCUUAUUCUUCUCAGUCUCUUCUGCAUCUAGCAGAAGAAUAAUGGUUGCACAGAAAAUCUUGGUUCAGUGGUUGAGUGAAUGAAUGGAUGAACAGGCUCUUGCACACAAAGAAGAGACAUGAUGUAUUUGCAUCCUUCCCUGCUUCAGCCAGUUUUCUGAAGCUCAGAGGGACACCUUGUAUUGCUGGAUGAUAAAAACAGGAGCAAAGUGAUGAAGUGCUGACAAGGCAACAAUAGAACAUGAGAGAUUCACUGCUGUGUAGGAAGAGAUCUUCGGUGACCAUGUAGCCUGAAGCUCUCAUUUUGUCAUCGAGGGACACCAAAACUCAGAACAGAUAGAGUCUUGCUCUGUGACCCAGGCUUGUGUGCAGCGGUACGAUAUUGGCUCACUGCGACCUCCACCUCCCAGGUUCAAGCAAUUCUCCUGCCUCAGCCUCCCAAGUAGCUGGGAUUACAGAUGAGGUCUCCAAGGGACCAGAUGGAGAACAGAUGCAACCACACUGAAGUCAGAAUCGCAGCUUGCCUCCGACACCUGACGCUUCACUGUUGGCGAGGCCCACUAUGCCUCGCUCUCCCCCUGUAAUGAGUUCUAUCCCAGAGGCUCCUAUACCCUUUAGAAAUAAACUGCUCAGGCAGCCCAACCAGUUCAUCCAAGAGGCCUGGAACCACAGCAGCGUCGACAGCUGAGAUGAGAGUUGGUCCCUGAUCUGAUACAGAGCCUGGGUUUAGCUUUGAUUUCUCUCUUCCUAGGCAAGAUCUUUAGAGAAUAACUUUUUGUGCCUGGCCAUCUCCUGCUCUUUUCUCAACCCAAAAGGGCUAUGUUCACCUAAAGAGGAAAAGCAAGAAGGCUUCCUGGGCUCGGGAGGUCAGGGCUGGAAAGAACUGCUCACCAUUUCUGAGCCGAUGAGGACUCACCUGGGCUCCUCACUGGUCAGGGAACUGUGGCCCAGCCGCAGAGUGAUUGCUUUGUCAAGAAGGGAAACAUUUACCUUUCCUUCUUCCCUCUGCUCUCUCCUAAUUAACAAUUAAAUGGAAGGAGUUGAAAAGACAUGUCAGAGACUUCAAUCUCCUCCCGGCCUGAGGAUGAAGGGGGCUCGAACCUGAAUGUUCUCUUCGCUGUGGCCAGAACCUAGGGGGCUGGGGUUGCUGCCAGCUCGACUGGAGGCCUGCUUCCAGCCCCAGGCUGUGGUGAGGGGCCUCACAGAUUUCACAAACAGGAGGGCGGCUGACCAAGCGCCAAACUAUUUAGACAAACACACACCCUCCCUUCCCGCCAGAGUUUGGGCUGAUUUCUCCCAAUGCUAAUGAACAGCUCAUAAGUAUUAAUAGACUCCUUGGCACCUAGGAGUCAGGCAGAGUAACUUCCAGUGUGAAUUUUGGCCAAGGACCCUGAUGCAGCCUCAGGAUCUUCCAAGCCCCUGUUGAGUCCAGGGGGCAUGAGACACACAGGGAGGCUGGGGCUGCUCCCAGGAAGCAGGCUCACAAGAGCCAGACAGGCUCCCACAGACAGCUUUUAGGUCACAGAAACCUCUGCCUGCCAGGUAGGCAUGAACACAGAAACCCUCCCAAAUCCUCAGACUGUGGAGCACACUCCAGGUGAGCCAGGAUCAAUCCCUGGUCUCAGAGAACACUUAGAUGGGGGUGAAAAGCAGGAACUGAGAGCUUCCCACCCAGCACCUGUCCCUGCUACCAGCUAAACCUGUGUCGGUCAGUGCAGGAAUUGUACAGGUGAUGCUCUGAGCCUGUGCUGAGGCCAUGUAUGGACUGAGGAAACCUCACUGUGUGUAUGUAAAGUUAAUUCAAACCUAUUUCCCUGAGUGCUUACAUAUUUUCAUAAGGAAAGUUCUGUUAGGAGAGCUGCCUGAAACAACACCUCUGCCUGUGCUCCCACUUUCUCCCGCUGGUGUGGGGAGGAGAGGCUGACAUCGCUGGGUCCACGUUCCUCUGCCCUGGGUGGGGUAUUAAUGCUGCCAUUCCCACGCUGCCUGCUGUUUCCCCUCAUCCUCAGGAGGGCUGGUCUCUGUGCUGCAGGCAGCUCCACCAGGCCUGGGAGCAUGACACCGUCUGCCAAUGCCUUGCCCAGGUCCACUGGCCUCACCCUUCCGCAGGCCUGCGCCUUCUGUGACUCUCUGCCUCAGCAAUUUCUCUGGAUUUCUUUGUCCUCAGGAAUGUGCUGGGGCCACAGGCAGGUCAGGCCAGGCUUUCUGGGGAGUGAAUGCUCUCUGCCAGUGGCGGAUGGAACUGGUAGACACGUCCCCCGGAUUCCUCGCCUGCAAGUGGGAUGGUGCCAGGAAAGUUCUACACCAUCCUUCCCAGGUCCCAGGAGGACAAGCACAGUUGUCCACAAGUGUGGAUCAGUGUUAAAAGUGCUUCAUGGAGAAAUGGAGGCCUGAAAGCGACUCUGAAGGAGGAGUGGGGCUCAGCAAACAGCAGACGAGUUUCAAUCCAAGCACCCAUUACCCCCCUAACACACGGCAUACGUGCAUCUCAUCUCCUCCUGUGUCGCUAAGAAGCUACCCAUAUGUCUGUCAUUAAUUCUCCAGAAUCCUUGGACACACCCCUCUGCAGAGCUUUCUAACAGGAAAUACAAGUCUCAGAUUUUUUUUUAAGUUAAAAUUGAGUGCAGCACUCAUACCUUUCUUCGAGCAUGAACCGUCAAUCAACACUGCCUCAUGAGCUACUGCUCUCCUGCUCUUUGAAAAGACAAAUCCUUAUUUCUUUGUAGUGAUCCAGAAGGCAGUGGGAAGAAUGACAGGUGCUUGGUUAUCUUCAAUUUAAUCUCUACCUUUCAAUGGGGCUAGUGCAAGCUAGGGCCAUUUUACUGCACCCAAAGGAAUUUAAGACAUUUCUAUUAUCUCUAAAGAAUCCAGAUUAACAUGCCUUCUUGGUGGGCAGGGAGACCAGCUAUGAAUUCUAGGAUCUCAAUUCAAAUGCUUUUGAAUUCUUCCUGCUUGUUCAGUUAAUUACAUAUAUGUCACCACAAUCUUGCUUUUUUUUUUCUAUGCUUCUAAUUUUCUCUGAAACUAUAACAUUAUUUUAGGGGUUAAUAAAUUUGUAAUUGGAAAAAA
This 3373-nucleotide long non-coding RNA is filed under the name Homo sapiens (human). Its description in RNAcentral is "SLC44A3 antisense RNA 1, transcript variant 3 (SLC44A3-AS1)". The record is from RNAcentral. Lineage: Eukaryota; Metazoa; Chordata; Mammalia; Primates; Hominidae.